AAUGGAGGAAACUCUGAUGCAGCAACGCCGCGUGGAGGAUGACGCAUUUCGGUGUGUAAACUCCUUUUAUAUGGGAAGAUAAUGACGGUACCAUAUGAAUAAGCACCGGCUAACUCCGUGCCAGCAGCCGCGGUAAUACGGAGGGUGCAAGCGUUACUCGGAAUCACUGGGCGUAAAGCGCGCGCAGGCGGCCUUUUAAGUUGGAUGUGAAAGCCUAUGGCUCAACUGUAGAACUGCAUCCAAAACUAUUUGGCUAGAGUGUGGGAGAGGAAGAUGGAAUUAGUUGU
This 287-nucleotide ribosomal RNA is filed under the name uncultured Campylobacterota bacterium. RNAcentral's name for it is "uncultured Epsilonproteobacteria bacterium partial 16S ribosomal RNA". It matches the Rfam family "Bacterial small subunit ribosomal RNA", at positions 370 to 674 of the family's 1533-position model. The record is from RNAcentral. Lineage: Bacteria; Pseudomonadati; Campylobacterota.